GUGGGAUCUAUGAUGUUAUAUUGAACUGCGUUAUCUGUCUGCAAAUUCCUUGAGGAAGACUUGUAAUAAGCUGAGAUCCUGA
Molecule: small nucleolar RNA, 82 nt
Filed under: Amborella trichopoda
Lineage: Eukaryota; Viridiplantae; Streptophyta; Magnoliopsida; Amborellales; Amborellaceae
Description: Small nucleolar RNA snoR27
Rfam family: Small nucleolar RNA snoR27
Source: Rfam by way of RNAcentral